Molecule: long non-coding RNA, 658 nt
Organism: Amphiprion ocellaris (clown anemonefish)
Lineage: Eukaryota; Metazoa; Chordata; Actinopteri; Pomacentridae
Exons: 3
Source: RefSeq, a predicted model, not a curated record
UAUGCCGGCUCACUGUGCUGCAUACAGUUACACACUACGUCGUACGAUUGAGACAAGGAAACUUGGAAUGACUUUUCAUAGGUUUCCCCGAGACUAUGGGUUGAGGAGGAAUUGGAAGUUUGUCGGCUUAGACCUGGUGUCAUUCCAUCAGUGUUAAACUUCCCGGCUCAUCUUGGAAGAGUACGUGCCAGAAAGACCACGACCAAGCAGCCUUGAGAUCUUAGACAGUGUCUCCCUGAGGUCCCUCUCUAUCUCCCCAUACAUCCACCAACCACUGGAACACAUCUCCAAAGUUCUGCCAGGCCAGCUCAGCUUCCCCUCAGAAGAAGUGCCGCCACCUGCCAGAUGAAGGAGCCUUUUGAGAGGCAGCUGGCAUCGUGAUUGGACUGUACUUUGGUCUGUUCCAAUCCAGCUUCAGCUCCAGAGACGGCAGGCGGGACGAGUCAACGGAGGCCGGGUGGACGAAGGCAUGCAGCUGAGUACAAUCCAGAAAACAACAGAGGAGGAGUGCAGGGCCCUGGGCCAGAAUAAACAGAGAAGCACAUUAUGUCUCUUAGAAAACAUCAUAAUACAGCCUUUGGUAUGAAAAAACACCAACAUAUACAUCGUAUAUUGUACAAAUAACAAGUCAAAGGAAAGACACAUACAUUGUAGAAUU